GCCAGAAUGACAUAGUGGUUUGAGUGCUGGACUACAACUCUAGAGACCAGGGUUUGAUUCCCAACUUGGCCA
This 72-nucleotide transfer RNA is filed under the name Phrynosoma platyrhinos (Desert horned lizard). Its description in RNAcentral is "tRNA-OTHER". Lineage: Eukaryota; Metazoa; Chordata; Lepidosauria; Squamata; Phrynosomatidae. The record is from RNAcentral.